AGUUCGAACUUCUUUCUGCACCUGAACGCUGACAGGAGCUGCUGACCUUUGACAAGUGAAACUCUUCACCUGUGGAAAAAGUGCUAACUUGUUGAAAGGUGACAGACAUUAAAGAAAAGAUCUCUGCUGAACAUCUGGAAGUGAGAAAGCAGCUGUUGCAGUGAGGAAAAAAAUGGUCUCCAGUGGUUUCUGCCGUGAGGAACAACUGCUGACUUUAGGCAUCGUCCGUUUGCUGGAUGACCGCUAUGCUGCUCUGCCUCGGCCAGGACGCGUUCUUCAGAUGAUCGUGACCAACCUGAGGAACCGUCCUCUGAGCAGCACAAGUGUCGCCUCCAUGAGGGAGUCCAUCCUGAGCAUGUACCACCACCUCAUCACAGGCUCCAAGGACUUCCCUUUGAUUCCAUUCAAGGGGUCCUUACGGACACGUCAGACGGCCACACCCUUCGUCCCCGUGGACCAGGAGGAGAGGGAGAACACCACACCCUCUUUAACGGACGAACCAGCUGGUAUUUUGGUUCCCACUGCAGGCUUGAGCUCUUCAGCUCCUAAUAUACUGACUGCAGCUCAUCCUGAGAGGACGGAGCUGGGGGCCCUGAGGGCCGACCCCAGGAACUGUGUCCGACGGAUGGAGUUUGAUGGCGAGACUGUGACCAGAGUCAUCUCCACUGGGUCCCGCUUUGAAGGCACCGAGGUGACCAACCGCUGGAGAGUGAGUGACUACAGCGGAGACGGUCGCAUUCUCAUGUCCGUCCUCUGCCAGUUCACCAGAGAGUCCACGUAUUGUGCACGGACUCUGAGGAAGAAGAGGAAGGGCACUGAGGAAGAGAGCAGCACUCGACCAAAGAAACGCCUGAGAGUGUGACUGACUUUUUAUCGUCUUGCUGGCAGGGUGGCAUGAAAGACCUUUAGUUUUUACUCCUCAGGGCUGGCCUUUGCUUUUGGCAGGGCUUGUCAGGCCCCUGGUAGCGUCUUGCACCGGGGCCCCUGCACCAUAUGAAACAUGUGGUUGUCUGAGGGGUAAAUAUUGUAUAUAUGUAUAUAGUUUGUUCAUCAUGGAUGUAGCACACAGGCUCAGUGUUUUCAGUGCGUCUUGCACUGGUGCGUCUUGCACCUUUCUUUAUUUCUUAGAGCUGGCCUGUGUGUCUGACGUGGUGAAACUACGGGGAACUCGGGGAGUUCACAGGUUGCCACUUGCCACGCUUGCAAGACACAAGUCUGCCCUGCAGCCGGGGACAGCAAAAGGACUUUAGAUGAAUUUCUUCCGAGUCUUCCGUUAUGGAUGAAUGUGUUUUCUUGAGCGAGAAACACGUCCAGCUUUAUUGUUGCCGACUCAUCAACAGUUCAGAUCAAGCUGCAGAUUGCAGUGAGUGAGGAAAGAGACAUUACAGCUGCAGGGACAGAGUCAAACCUACAACACUACUGACCCACCAAUGACAGGCAGGACGAGCAGCAAGAACAGACUGACAGAAGAGGGAGAGGACAGAAACAGCUUGAUCGAAAGAAGGAAGAUAUUAAUUCCACCUGCACUUCUCUCCAAACCAACUGCAGCAACCAGCUGUGGACAAAGUAAUAAACACAGAGCUGUUUGUGAAGGAUGGAAACAAAAGAAGAAGACGAAAGGAGUGGAGACUCGCUGUGAACUCGCUCAUUUAAAAAGAGAGGAGAGGAAACAAGGACGACACUAGUCCAGACCAAGAUCCGACAAGAGAAGAGAGGAGACAGCAUGAACUGUGAACUCGCUCAUUUUAAAAGAGAGAGGAGAGGAAACGAGGACGAAGUCCAGACCAAGUCUAGACCAAGAGCCGACAAGAGAAGAGAGGAGACAGCCUGAACUGUGAACUCCAUCCAUCCAUCGUCAACCGCUUAUCCUGUGUACAGGGUCGUGGGGGCUGGAGCCAAUCCCAGCUGACAUCGGUGGCCAGUCCAUCGCAGGAACUCGCUCAUUUAAAAAGAGAGAGGAGAGGAAACGAGGACGAAGCAAGUCCAGACUGAGUCCAGACCAAGUCUAGACCAAGAUCAGACAAUGAGAAGAAAGGAGACAGCUUGAACUGUGAACUCGCUCACUGAAAAGAGAGAGAAGAGGAAACAAGGACAACACUAGUCCAGAUCAGGUCCAGACCAAGAUCCGACAAGAGAAGAGAGGAGACAGCCUGAACUGUGAACUCGCUCACUGAAAAGAGAGGAGAGGAAACAAGGACGACACUAGUCCAGAUCAAGAUCCGACAAGAGAAGAGAGGAGACAGCAUGAACUGUGAACUCGCUCAUUUUAAAAGAGAGAGGAGAGGAAACGAGGACGAAGUCCAGACCAAGUCUAGACCAAGAGCCGACAAGAGAAGAGAGGAGACAGCCUGAACUGUAAACUCGCUCACUGAAAAGAGAGGAGAGGAAACAAGGACGACACUAGUCCAGACCAAGAUCCGACAAGAGAAGAGAGGAGACAGCAUGAACUGUGAACUCGCUCAUUUUAAAAGAGAGAGGAGAGGAAACGAGGACGAAGCAAGUCCAGACUGAGUCCAGACCAAGUCUAGACCAAGAUCAGACAAUGAGAAGAAAGGAGACAGCCUGAACUGUGAACUCGCUCACUGAAAAGAGAGGAGAGGAGACGAGGACAACACUAGUCCAGACUGAGUCCAGACCAAGUUCCGACAAGAGAAAAGAGGAGACAGCCUGAACUGUGAACUCACUCACUGAAAAGAGAGGAGAGGAGACGAGGACAACACUAGUCCAGACUGAGUCCAGACCAAGAUCGACAAGAGAAGAGAGGAGACAGCCUGAACUGUGAACUCGCUCAUUUUAAAGGGAAAAUGCACAUUUAUUUGAUGUUAUCAGAAUUCCUACUAUGAUCAAUAGUUCUCCUCCUUCAGCCUUUUUGCUAAAGUUAUUAACUGUUAUUCUUUUUUCUGCAUUUGUCUUUCACUGAGAGGAGAGGAAACGAGGACGACACUACUCCAGACUGAGUCCAGAGUGAGUCCAGACCAAGACCAGACGACAUGAGACAAGGAGACCGCAUAAAUGAAAAGGAGGACGAGCGAGACGUCUCCUCAUCUGCAGCAGCAUCACAGACAGUUUAUUGUCUCGAACAUCUUCCUGUCUGUCAUCAAGAAGACCAAAAUCAACACUGAAUUUAUUCUUCUGACAUGUGGCUGUGUAGUCCCAUGAUGAACAUCAUUAAUGUUUGUGUUCAACCUGCUUUUUGUCCUUAAUAAAUAAAACAUAUUCACUGGACAA
RNA transcript from Micropterus salmoides (largemouth bass), 3228 nucleotides. RefSeq lists it as uncharacterized. The record is from RefSeq and is a predicted model, not a curated record. The transcript has 13 exons. Lineage: Eukaryota; Metazoa; Chordata; Actinopteri; Centrarchiformes; Centrarchidae.